GAAAUGACAAUGAAAAGAAGAGUAAUGACUUGUGAUUAUCCCAGAGAGCUUUCAACGGUGGAAGAAAGCAUAAUGGCAGGUUAUGAAGAUGAUCUUGGAGUCAGCAAUUUGGUGCUUCGGUGCUGAAUCGCCGUUUUGCAGUCGAUAUCCUGCACUUGUAUAGUCACCAUGAUGUACAGGCAAAGGUGUUGAUUGUGAAAUCAAGACAAAAAUGGGUGGUACCACGGAGAAUCCGUCCCAGAA
This 243-nucleotide non-coding RNA is filed under the name Loigolactobacillus bifermentans. RNAcentral's name for it is "Lactobacillus bifermentans T-box sequence". It matches the Rfam family "T-box leader". From Rfam's summary of the family: Uncharged tRNA acts as the effector for transcription antitermination of genes in the T-box leader family. T-boxes are found upstream of many aminoacyl-tRNA synthetase genes and some amino acid biosynthetic genes usually in Gram-positive bacteria. Lineage: Bacteria; Bacillati; Bacillota; Bacilli; Lactobacillales; Lactobacillaceae. The record is from RNAcentral.